RNAcentral lists this ribosomal RNA (547 nucleotides) under uncultured Comamonadaceae bacterium. Its description in RNAcentral is "bacterial SSU rRNA". It matches the Rfam family "Bacterial small subunit ribosomal RNA", at positions 37 to 580 of the family's 1533-position model. The record is from RNAcentral. Lineage: Bacteria; Pseudomonadati; Pseudomonadota; Betaproteobacteria; Burkholderiales; Comamonadaceae.
UCGCGGAAUGCUUUACACAUGCAAGUCGAACGGCAGCACGGGGGCACCCUGGUGGCGAGUGGCGAACGGGUGAGUAAUACAUCGGAACGUGCCCAGUCGUGGGGGAUAACGUAGCGAAAGCUACGCUAAUACCGCAUGAGAUCUACGGAUGAAAGCGGGGGAUCGCAAGACCUCGCGCGAUUGGAGCGGCCGAUGGCAGAUUAGGUAGUUGGUGGGGUAAAGGCCUACCAAGCCUGCGAUCUGUAGCUGGUCUGAGAGGACGACCAGCCACACUGGGACUGAGACACGGCCCAGACUCCUACGGGAGGCAGCAGUGGGGAAUUUUGGACAAUGGGCGCAAGCCUGAUCCAGCCAUUCCGCGUGCAGGAUGAAGGCCUUCGGGUUGUAAACUGCUUUUGUACGGAACGAAACGGUCCUGGUUAAUACCCGGGGCUAAUGACGGUACCGUAAGAAUAAGCACCGGCUAACUACGUGCCAGCAGCCGCGGUAAUACGUAGGGUGCAAGCGUUAAUCGGAAUUACUGGGCGUAAAGCGUGCGCAGGCGGUG